CAGGGCUCAUCCCCACCGUGUCGUAGCCGCCAUCAUCGCCCAAAUCCUCGCUCGCCCCACGCCGCGCCGAAAUCCUCAUGCCCCACGCCUGCCCCUGCCCCUGCCUCCCAAACCGCGCCCAUUCGAACCGGCCGCCCGAAUCUAGCGCAAGCACGCAGGCGGUGAUGACGGCCACGGGAGACAGCCGGCGCUCGGCGUGAUUCCCGCCCCGCCGCGAGCCAAGAGGUUCGAGGUCAAGUUCGCGGACCCCCCGCCGUGCCCCGCGCUCCCACGCCCGCACAGGCAUCUAGCCCCCAUCCCCCUCCCGCUCGAGAUAUCCGCCGAUCUAGCCUGUCGGGGGGUCCGCGACGUGUGGAAGGGUGAGCAUCGACGAUGGCGGUAGAAGAGGAGGAAGCCUUCGAUGGUGCGCUCACCGACGAGCAGCUGCGAGAGAUGAACUCAUCCCUCUGCUUGAUGUCCUAGCAAACAAAGUGAACGCUAUCAGGAGGCUUAGGGAACUCUUGACAACCAAUCUUCCUACAGGCACAUUUCCAGUCAAGGAAGUCAUAGCUGCUACAAUGAUAAGAAGAAAGUAGAGGAAAAGGAACAGAUCUCGACUGUAAUUCUGCAGAUGAAGCAUACCAAUAAAAAGGCAUAUGACCAGACUCUGUAACAAUAUCUGCACAUCAGUACCUUGGCAGACUCUCCAAGCAGCAAACAAAGUGAAGGCUAUCUGGAGGCUUAGUGAACUCUUGACAACCAAACUUCCUACAGGCACAUUUCCAGUCAAGGGAGAUGAGCUCACCUUGGCAAUGGUAGUUAAUCUUAUUAAUGCAAACAAGGAUGAUUAAUUUGAUGUACUUUUCUAUGCCUCGUGGUGCCCAUUCUCACAAGAAUGCAUUUGAGGAAUCUGCAAUUAGGCCAAGGCGUCCCACACAGGUGUUUCUUCCAUAAGAAGACUACCGACAUGGGAUACGUCUCUUCAGUUUGUUUGUCAAUAUUUUGUAGGAAUCAGAAGAGGUGUUCAACAUGUGGGUUAAUUUUGUUUUCAAGUGUGCUCCUCUAAUGACACCCUUUUCUUUUUUGGAGUACCUUUUGAUAAUAACAAAUUUGGGUUCUAUUUUUGUUUCUAGACUCAAGUCUAGAGUUCCAUGAAU
Zea mays is the source of this 1136-nucleotide RNA transcript. RefSeq lists it as uncharacterized. The transcript has 7 exons. The record is from RefSeq and is marked validated. NCBI's taxonomy places the organism in Eukaryota, Viridiplantae, Streptophyta, Magnoliopsida, Poales, Poaceae.